RNAcentral lists this ribosomal RNA (385 nucleotides) under uncultured bacterium. Its description in RNAcentral is "bacterial SSU rRNA". It matches the Rfam family "Bacterial small subunit ribosomal RNA", at positions 355 to 757 of the family's 1533-position model. The record is from RNAcentral.
UGGGGAAUAUUGCACAAUGGGCGAAAGCCUGAUGCAGCAACGCCGCGUGAGUGAUGAAGGCCUUCGGGUUGUAAAGCUCUGUCUUCUGGGACGAUAAUGACGGUACCAGAGGAGGAAGCCACGGCUAACUACGUGCCAGCAGCAGCGGUAAUACGUAGGUGGCAAGCGUUGUCCGGAUUUACUGGGCGUAAAGGAUGCGUAGGCGGAUACUUAAGUCAGAUGUGAAAAUCCCGGGCUUAACUUGGGAACUGCAUUUGAAACUGGGUAUCUAGAGUGCGGGAGAGGAAAGUGGAAUUCCUAGUGUAGCGGUGAAAUGCGUAGAGAUUAGGAAGAACACCAGUGGCGAAGGCGACUUUCUGGACCGUAACUGACGCUGAGGCAUGAA